RNAcentral lists this ribosomal RNA (254 nucleotides) under uncultured bacterium. Its description in RNAcentral is "partial 16S ribosomal RNA". It matches the Rfam family "Bacterial small subunit ribosomal RNA", at positions 524 to 776 of the family's 1533-position model. The record is from RNAcentral.
UACGUAGGGUGCAAGCGUUAAUCGGAAUUACUGGGCGUAAAGCGUGCGCAGGCGGUGAUGUAAGACAGAUGUGAAAUCCCCGGGCUCAACCUGGGAACUGCAUUUGUGACUGCAUCGCUGGAGUACGGCAGAGGGGGAUGGAAUUCCGCGUGUAGCAGUGAAAUGCGUAGAUAUGCGGAGGAACACCGAUGGCGAAGGCAAUCCCCCUGGGCCUGUACUGACGCUCAUGCACGAAAGCGUGGGGAGCAAACAGG